Gallus gallus (chicken) is the source of this 1937-nucleotide long non-coding RNA. The record is from Ensembl. Lineage: Eukaryota; Metazoa; Chordata; Aves; Galliformes; Phasianidae.
GUGAUGAGACAGAGCCUUUCACCCCCACAUUUCUCCCAUGAACCUCAGAAUUAGCCCAACUGGGAUGUCUCUGCCCUUUCCCAGCCCUAUGUCCAUUGGACAGAACAGCCCCGGGCUGUUGCUGUGCGGUGUUGGCAGGAGAUCAUCAGGGUCCUGGCAGCUGGCGGGGUCAGAGCCCAGCAUAGCGCUGCUCGGGGCUGAUGCCAUCUCUGCUCGGAUCAUCCGCAGCACUGUGAUUGCUGCACAGGGACCAACUCCGGAUAUUAAAGCUCCUCAGAGAGCCACAUCCCAACCCAGCACCGCUCAACAUCCCCAAAAUUACCCCAGGGACAAAUUGGCCCACCAGACCUACAGCGCUGACAGCAACAGCUCAGAAACAGCGUGAAAUCUAAAUUAAGUUGAGAGUCUCUUUUCUAAACAAAUUCCUUCUUGAAGAACCAAACCCAGACUUCAUUAUAACAACUCAAUUAUACACGAGGCUGAGCUCCAGUGCGCUCACAGAGACAAGAAGUUUGCCGUGAGUGUUUCACGCUUCGCUCAAAUUAUGACUUCCUUCAAUGCAAAUGGGAGGUUCGGCGAGCAAUGCACAUUUCCCCAAUGCUGCUCAGAAAACAAAUUACAUCGAUGUCUAUUAGGAAGCAGAAGCAGGGCUUCUGUAGGAACAGUGGUUUCUCCAGGGUGAAUUUCUGUGAGGUCUCUCCAGGGUUGCGUUGUGGGGUGAGAAAGCAAAGAGUGACCCCAAAGAGCCUCCAGGACAGCAGAGCCAUCCCUGCUGCUCUGCACAGAACUCAGCCCACUGCACCGUGGGUUUGAUGGAUGCUAUUGAAGCACCAGCAGCAGGAGCAGAUCUCAGCACAUGGGCAGUUCUUGGGGGGCUGACCCCCUCUGGGGGGGACCAGGGGGCAAAGCCCUCUCCUGUGGCCCCAUCUCUCUCCCAAUCAAUAAACAAUGAGCAAAUAUGCAGCAUGAGAGCAGUAAAUAAACUUCUGUAGCCCCCCGGUGUCCCUCUGCCAAAUAAACUCAGUAGGGAUACAUUUUUUCUUGAGCCAUCUUUCACACCAAAUAAAGUCUUGAGGAAUAAAGUGACACUUCUGGCAGGUGCUGAAGCCGUGCUCACAGAGGCACUCAGUGUGUCCUUCUCCUGUCGCUCAUCGUCCCCAAAGCUGCAGAACACCCAUUUGCAAGGACAGACCCCACAUCAACACUGGUGAGAGGCAGAAGCUCAGAGCAGCAUCAUAGUCUCAGCCUUUGCUCUGAAUACAGUGCACAGCAGCUUAGGAAACACAAAUGUGUGACUUCCAUCCCUGCUUGGAGGCACUGGGGAACGCUGCUGCUCACCCUCCUGAGUUCCCACCCAACGUUAUCUCGCUUUCUAUCACAGCAGCAGCUUCCAAUGGGCUCAGAGUGAGGUCGUGAGAUUUUGUGUUCUUCAUACAAUUCCAUCAAACUGCCUCAGGAAGAAGAAAAUAAACCCUGCAAUAAGUCUUCCUGCUGAUUAUUUGCUGGGAUGGAUGGAUGGAUGGAUGGAUGGAUGGAUGGAUGGAUGGAUGGAUGGAUGGAUGGAUGGAUAAAAAAAUAAAAGAAGAAGAAUUUACAGCACCUGAAGACAUCCAUGAUUGCCCCAACCCAGGUGGAACACCUUGGCCUUGCAGAACCUCAUUUGGCUCUUUUGGGCCCACUUCUCAAACCUGUCCAGGUCCCUCUGGAUGGCGUCCCUUCUUUCUGUUGUAUCAACUGCACCCCUCAGCUUGAUGUCAUCAGUAAAGUUGCUGUGGGUGGACUUGGUUCCACUGUCUAUGUCACUGCAGAGCACGAGUCCCAGGAUAGACCUCUGGGGGACACCACUCCUCACCAACCUCCACCCACACAUAGAGCCAUUGAUAACGACUCUGAUUAUGACCACCCAACCAAGUCCUCCUCCAACCAACAGUCCAGCC